UCUAUCUACUAUUGAAAGCAAGAAAAAACCAGUUGUGUUCCAGUGAAAAGCACAAAGAGAAAAAAGUAAAGGAAUUAACUGUUGUUGUUGUCUUUCAUCUCUUCAUAGCCAUGGCUUCCCUAGAAUAGAAUUCUCAAAGGUCAAAGGAGGAAGGAGUAGAGUUCUUAAUUUUUGAGGUUAUAGAGCCAAAGGAAAUGAGAGAAGCUGGGCGAGGUAAAAGUGGAAGAGGAGGUAUGGGAUGUAGAUGUGGACGUGGCAGCUUUCCAGAACAUGUAAGUUCUAAAACAACAUGUCAUCCACAAAUACAACCAAUAUUGCACCUUCUUUGGAGACUGGACAGCCAACUAGUCUAAGCCAAGGACCUCUAUAAAUAGAACGUAUGUCAAGUGGCCUUGUCCAAAGGAUAUCCCCAGAGACACAAUCAUCGAUAAAUCUAGAUGAAAAUGUAUGACUUAGCGUAGAGGCUGAAACCGGUGCAGGUUAGUUCAUGAUUUAACUUCCCUUCUUAUUAAUUCAUAACAUAUACAUAAGCACUGUCGAGGCUAGUUCGUUUACGUUGGUGAGUAUGGCACCUGUAACUUAAUUUGAAGAAAAAGGGAAUAAAAUUGGCAGAUCAAUGCCUUAUUUUAAUUUUUUUUGUUCCCACUCCAUCACAAGAUUAGCUUCCCUUCUUAUUAAUUCAUAAGAUAUACAUAAGCACCAUCGAGUCUAGUUCAUUUAGGUUGGUGAGUAUGGCACUUGUAACUUAAUUUGAAGGAAAAGGAAGACAAUCGACAGAUCACUGCCUUAUUUCAGUUUCUUUUGUUCCCAUUUCGCCACAUGAUUAACUUUCCUUCUUAUUAAUUCAUAACAUAUACAUAAGCACCGUCGAGGCUAAUUCGUUCACGUUAGUGAGUAUGGCACUUGUAACUUAAUUUGAAGGAAAAAGGGAAGACAAUAGGCAGAUCACUGCCUGAUUUUAGUUUUUUUUGUUCCCACUUUGCCACACGAUUAACUUUUAUUCUUAUUAAUUCCUAACAUAUAUAUAAGCACCGUCGUGUUAUUUCUUUUUCUUAUUCUUGAUUAAUGUUUUUGUAUAGAAUGGGGCUUAUCUUUGGCUUUGAGUGAACGUUAGUGCAUCCAUAAGGUUCCUAUUAGUCUAGAUUAUCAAACGUUAUUCUUUAAA
Molecule: long non-coding RNA, 1165 nt
Organism: Capsicum annuum
Lineage: Eukaryota; Viridiplantae; Streptophyta; Magnoliopsida; Solanales; Solanaceae
Exons: 3
Source: RefSeq, a predicted model, not a curated record